RNAcentral lists this small RNA (174 nucleotides) under Chromobacterium sp. RNAcentral's name for it is "Magnesium sequence". It matches the Rfam family "M-box riboswitch aptamer (ykoK leader)". From Rfam's summary of the family: M-box riboswitch, also know as ykoK leader is described as a metaloregulatory RNA that sense divalent metals and function as a genetic control element of genes related to divalent metal transport in bacteria. It was first reported upstream of the B.subtilis ykoK gene and genes with related functions in other bacteria. Phylogenetic analysis of the distribution of M-box RNAs across bacterial genomes revealed that M-box riboswitches are most often employed for the regulation of Mg2+ transporter genes RNAcentral also lists the same sequence under 1 other name. The record is from RNAcentral. Lineage: Bacteria; Pseudomonadati; Pseudomonadota; Betaproteobacteria; Neisseriales; Chromobacteriaceae.
GCAGUGUCUCGUUCGGCGAGGCUCCUAUGCAAACACAGGUCACUGAUCUGACGACGUCGAGAGACGCCCAAGGUUAGGACAGGCUUUAUCGGAUUAAGGUAUAGCCCAAAGUGACUUCCCGCAUGCAGUCGGGAUACGUUGCAUAGUGCCAAAACUUAGACGCGGAGAUAGCUU